Non-coding RNA from Caenorhabditis elegans, 94 nucleotides. NCBI's taxonomy places the organism in Eukaryota, Metazoa, Nematoda, Chromadorea, Rhabditida, Rhabditidae. The record is from Ensembl.
GGUAAGAAAGCACGGUUUAAUGGCUGCCUGCGCAUAUUUUCUGAAUUUUGAACGUCAAGCCUUGUUCAUCCACAGCAUAGUUUUGCAUAGCACA